AGUAUAGUGUAGAUUCAACGAAUCCUGAGCGAGCUUGACUAUUAAUACUAGCACAGGUGACAGUGUGUAUCUUAGCCUUAGGAGUGGCUUCAUUUGUAAAAUAUUGUUUGGUUUUUAAUAAUGGUGUUGGGGGUGUGCCGGAUAGUGCUUUGCCGGAUGGUACCAGAUACUAGUCCGCCAGUUGCAGAAACAACCGGAUACCGAUGCACGGUCAUAUUUGGACAAUAUGUCACUAUCUUUUUGUCGUAAAACUUUCUGUUGUCUGUUUAGUAUGUG
Non-coding RNA from Paramuricea clavata, 276 nucleotides. The record is from the annotation of a GenBank genome assembly. NCBI's taxonomy places the organism in Eukaryota, Metazoa, Cnidaria, Anthozoa, Malacalcyonacea, Plexauridae.